UAGGGAAUCUUCCGCAAUGGACGCAAGUCUGACGGAGCAAUGCCGCGUGAGUGAAGAAGGAUUUCGGUUCGUAAAACUCUGUUGUUAGAGAAGAACAGCGCAUAGAGUAACUGUUAUGCGUGUGACGGUAUCUAACCAGAAAGCCACGGCUAACUACGUGCCAGCAGCCGCGGUAAUACGUAGGUGGCAAGCGUUGUCCGGAUUUAUUGGGCGUAAAGCGAGCGCAGGCGGUCAAUUAAGUCUGAUGUGAAAGCCCCCGGCUCAACCGGGGAGGGUCAUUGGAAACUGGUUGACUUGAGUGCAGAAGAGGAGAGUGGAAUUCCAUGUGUAGCGGUGAAAUGCGUAGAUAUAUGGAGGAACACCAGUGGCGAAGGCGACUCUCUGGUCUGUAACUGACGCUGAGGCUCGAAAGCGUGGGUAGCAAACAGG
Molecule: ribosomal RNA, 429 nt
Filed under: Bacteroidota bacterium
Lineage: Bacteria; Pseudomonadati; Bacteroidota
Description: Bacteroidetes bacterium partial 16S ribosomal RNA
Rfam family: Bacterial small subunit ribosomal RNA
Source: RNAcentral